CCCGCAUCGCCGCCGCCCCGCCCGUGGCAAGCCCUAGCCGCCGCCUCCUCCCGCACUCGCGCGUCCUGCCCCUCGUGUGCGGCGCCUCCACCCAAACCCUAACCCUAGCUGCUCCCCACGCUGACGUUGUCUCCUUCACCUAGCCCGCCGGAUCCCCGCCGUCGUCCUCGCGUGCACACGGCAGGUGCUCCGCCUCUUCCUUCCAUCCGGCCAGAUCCGCGGCGCACGGUCUCUCGCGCUUGCUCGCAAUCCUCAGCCGUGGGCUUGGGUUUCGGGCUGGGCAUCGCCUUCGUCGCCGGCGCGGCUCCGGUGGAUUCCGGCGGCACCUCUUUGUCUCCUUCCUCGCCCCCACACGCGGCUGCACUUCCCGCUGGCCAUGGGGCUUGCUGGUAGCAGCGCCUCCCUCCCUCCCUGCCUGCCGCUGCCAGUCCCGCCGCCCGGAGCAGCGCCACCGACGGCUCCAUAGGCAGAAAUUCUAGCUAGGGCAUGGAACACAAGAAAGCUUGAGCAAAUCAUCAUGUGCAUGCUCAAAGGCUUGGUUAACAAGGGUGACAAUAAGAUGUGUGUACAAUUAAUUGCCAGGAAUAGCUUUAUAUUAGGAGCAGCUUCUCCACCACGCAGCGGCAGAGGAGGUGUGCUUCUUCCCCAACACAACAUAGCGGCAGCCACGUAUCCUCUGCCCUCUCCCUUUAUCUACCGUCUUCUGUUCCUUAUCAAAAAAAUCAUUUUUACCUUGUAUAAUACUUCUGAUUUGGACCGAUUUGUGUUUUGGGGGGCAUCAAUUUGGUGCUAACCCUGUCCAUGUGCAGAGAAAAGGAGAAGAAGGGGAUGGAUGAUCAAGGAGCAGAAGAACUAGAAGAAGAAGGGCAAGGGAGGUAGAACGAUAUGAAUGUCCAAGGAGGGUAUAGAAAACCAAUUAGUGUCGGCUGCCUUGAAGGGAGCCACAAGGAAGAGAGAGAUCAUUGUACAUGACCUGAAGAUGAUAAGGCGCCACUUCCAUGAUGACAUCAACAUCACCGUGGUCUGUCUUCAAUGGCACCUGGGGCGACAUCAGAUCAUGGUCGUGGAGCAGCAACUGCACCAGUGACCCUGCCAUGGCGGCGAUAUGGACGGCAUCACCAUAACCACAUUAAUGGUCCAAGCAUGAGGUCUCCGCCGAACGACGGCCACCCCCCUCCCUCUCUGCGCGCGCGUCCAGGUCAUUGUUGCUUUUGGUGUUACCCUGCGUUCAAAGGGAUCAAGAUGGUGCCUUUCUUUGGGUCUGCAUUUCGUCUACUACUUGUCCCACCUAGCAGUUGCUGGUGUUGCUUCCUGUUGGACAUAGCUCGUUCUCCAGUCUCCACCUUCGAUUUGUGACACAGAUUGGUUUAUUGUGAUGUUGCUUUGAACAAGGAAUGGGUGAUGCUAUACCACUAGGAUGUGUCAUCACCACAUACAUAAUUAGUCCCAGGAAAAAUAUAAAGCAUACCAAGGUGUGAUUGGUCUGCAGUGACGACCUUUGGGCCAACAACACAUGGGCAUUUCAGAGAUAAACUAUUGCAUCAGAAAUUUGCUUGGAGAAGAUCUGGGACACUCGGGUACAUUAGACCCACGAGGGCAAUGCGAGGGAGGCCAUGCGCUCAAGUGGGAGGCGGAGCUCGCCUCCCCCAAUGACGACGGCUUCGACCUCAAGUGGAUGUGGGAGGCCAAGUCCAAGCCAUGUGCUGCCGGCAAGGUCGAAACCAAGUGGGGCGCCAAGGAAGCCAACGAGGAUGACAAUAAUUCGGCAAGAAAGUGCGUCCAGAUAAAGGAGAUCUCCACCGGCUGCGAUGUCCAGAUCGAGGUACUCGGCAGAAAAGAUGAAAUUGUUGUGAUGAAAUAUGGGAUUUCCAGUGCUCCAGUAGCUAAAUGAUGAAAUGUGGGAGUAGAUUCAAGAGAAAGAUUGCAGUAACUUACUCCAGUAGCUUAGAUGGAACUUCGCUGUUUUGGAAUUUCCAGUAGCUUAAGUAUUGCAGUAGAUUUCCAAUAAAAUCUUGCCUGAGUGAUGUUUGCUUGGUUCCUAUGAAUCUUAAUCUUGGAUGUGUGUCUCUGAAUCUUAAUCUGAUGGGUGCUACUAUGAAUAAGGUUAGUUGUUGUUGAUUA
Molecule: RNA transcript, 2121 nt
Organism: Triticum aestivum (bread wheat)
Lineage: Eukaryota; Viridiplantae; Streptophyta; Magnoliopsida; Poales; Poaceae
Exons: 9
Source: RefSeq, a predicted model, not a curated record